CAUAGCCACGGUAAUACAGAGGGUGCGAGCGUUAAUCGGAUUUACUGGGCGUAAAGCGUGCGUAGGCGGCUUUUUAAGUCGGAUGUGAAAUCCCUGAGCUUAACUUAGGAAUUGCAUUCGAUACUGGGAAGCUAGAGUAUGGGAGAGGAUGGUAGAAUUCCAGGUGUAGCGGUGAAAUGCGUAGAGAUCUGGAGGAAUACCGAUGGCGAAGGCAGCCAUCUGGCCUAAUACUGACGCUGAGGUACGAAAGCAUGGGGAGCAAACAGGAUUAGAUACCCCGGUAGUCCCUGUCUCUUAUACA
RNAcentral lists this ribosomal RNA (301 nucleotides) under uncultured bacterium. RNAcentral describes it as "partial 16S ribosomal RNA". It matches the Rfam family "Bacterial small subunit ribosomal RNA", at positions 510 to 808 of the family's 1533-position model. The record is from RNAcentral.